Molecule: ribosomal RNA, 320 nt
Filed under: uncultured eukaryote
Lineage: Eukaryota
Description: partial 18S ribosomal RNA
Rfam family: Eukaryotic small subunit ribosomal RNA
Source: RNAcentral
CCCCUAGAUGUUCUGGGCCGCACGCGCGCUACACUGAAAAGUUCAACAAGUCUUAACCUUGGCCGAUAGGUCUGGGUAAUCUUUGAACGCUGUUCGUGAUUGGGAUAGACCUUUGCAAUUAUGGGUCUUCAACGAGGAAUUCCUAGUAAACGCAAGUCAUCAGCUUGCAUUGAUUACGUCCCUGCCCUUUGUACACACCGCCCGUCGCACCUACCGAUUGAAUGGUCCGGUGAAAUCUCGGGACGGCGGCUUGGUCGCUUGCGUCCGACUGCUGAAACUUGAUUAAACCAUAUCAUUUAGAGGAAGGUGAAGUCGUANCA